CUACGGGGUGCUGCAGUGGGGAAUAUUGGACAAUGGGGGAAACCCUGAUCCAGCAAUGCCGCGUGUGUGAAGAAGGCCUGCGGGUUGUAAAGCACUUUCGGUUGGGAGGACUGCUUCUAGCACUAAUAUUGUUGGAAGUUGACGUUACCUUCAGAAGAAGCACCGGCUAACUCCGUGCCAGCAGCCGCGGUAAUACGGAGGGUGCAAGCAUUAAUCGGAAGUACUGGGCGUAAAGCGCGCGUAGGCGGCUAGAUCAGUCGGGUGUGAAAGCCCCGGGCUUAACCUGGGAACUGCAUCCGAGACUGUCUAACUUGAGUACAGGAGAGGAGAGUGGAAUUCCACAUGUAGCGGUGAAAUGCGUAGAUAUGUGGAGGAACACCAAUGGCGAAGGCAGCUCUCUGGCCUGAUACUGACGCUGAGGUGCGAAAGCGUGGGGAGCAAACAGGAUUAGAUACCCCCGUAGUC
Molecule: ribosomal RNA, 465 nt
Filed under: uncultured bacterium
Lineage: Bacteria
Description: partial 16S ribosomal RNA
Rfam family: Bacterial small subunit ribosomal RNA
Source: RNAcentral